GACUGUGAUGUUGCUUAUCGCCGGUUGUCUCUUGUCUAAAACUUUUCACAGAUUAUUUAACGAAAAGAAAAUAUAUUCGAGAAUUCAUUUUGUGAUCUGGAGAAUGAAGCGACAAAAAGUCGUCCAACAUGCAUUUAUCUUAUUUCUUCUACGGCUUGCUGUUUUAUUGCAACCAUAACCUUGGCAUUGAAUGUUCUGUUCAACUAUCAAUUAUUCAAAUCCACAACAUCUACAGUUGCAAAUCCAAUAACAAUUGUUACAGCUACAGCACCAGCAACAUUUGCUACCAACAUCACACCAGCAGAAUUUUUUGCGGCAGAUACAACACCAGCAACAUUUGCUGCUGGUCCGACACCUGAAAGAUUUGUUACGGGUGCGACACCAGCAACAUUUAUUUAUUAAAUUCUACUUUGUGUAUGCAGUUAUACUAUUUGUUCACAUUUUUAUCAUAAUUUCAUGUAAAUAAAGUUUCUUAAUGUUGUCAUAAAUAUGCACUGACUAUACGGUGUCAUUUAGCAUUUUCAUAA
This is a long non-coding RNA of Xenia sp. Carnegie-2017, 527 nucleotides long. RefSeq lists it as uncharacterized. The transcript is spliced from 2 exons. The record is from RefSeq and is a predicted model, not a curated record. Lineage: Eukaryota; Metazoa; Cnidaria; Anthozoa; Malacalcyonacea; Xeniidae.